This 221-nucleotide long non-coding RNA is filed under the name Lathyrus oleraceus (garden pea). RNAcentral describes it as "Pisum sativum (pea) long non-coding RNA (PSAT_LNC038776)". The record is from RNAcentral. Lineage: Eukaryota; Viridiplantae; Streptophyta; Magnoliopsida; Fabales; Fabaceae.
GCUGACUCAAUACGCACCUCGUAGACCCCUCGAGGGUUAUCAAGUACCGGAUUAACAGUUAUUUCUUUCACUGAGGUAUCGGAAUCAGAGGUUCCUACAACUUACCCUCUCUUUUUUUUUUUAGCAGGAUCGACCUCGAUUCCUCUGAUUCGCUCACAACAAGCCUCGGUAGCUUGAUGGACAACACUCCAUAAGUGCACUGAUUCAGACUCAAAAGUAUG